This 331-nucleotide unclassified non-coding RNA is filed under the name uncultured Orbiliales. Its description in RNAcentral is "sequence contains ITS1". The stretch from base 1 to 105 matches the Rfam family "5.8S ribosomal RNA", at positions 50 to 154 of the family's 154-position model. Lineage: Eukaryota; Fungi; Ascomycota; Orbiliomycetes; Orbiliales. The record is from RNAcentral.
GAAACGCGAUAGGUAAUGUGAAUUGCAGAAUUCCGUGAAUCAUCGAAUCUUUGAACGCACAUUGCGCCUUCUGGCAUUCCGGUAGGCAUAUCUGUUUGAGCGUCAGCAAAACCUCUCAGCAUUCAUUUGUUGGUACUGGGCUAGGGAGGAAGUGCUUUCGGGCACCUCCCGCCUUAAACUUGCUGCACGACCGCAAGCCGAUGGUUAGGUUCAUGAAGUGGUAUUUACAUAUAUUUCAUAGCCUGCCCAUGGUGACCGGCGUUAAAACCUGAUGUUGCUUGCGCAACUGAAGUUUGACCUCAAAUCAGAUAAGGAUACCCGCUGAACUUAA